AGUGAACGCUGGCGAUAGGCCUAACACAUGCAAUUCGAACGGCAUCACAGUAAGAGCUUGCUCUUACGUGUGGCGAGUGGCGGACGGGUGAGGAAUACAUCUGAAUCUACUUUUUCGUGGGGGAUAACGUAGGGAAACUUACGCUAAUACCGCAUACGACCUACGGGUGAAAGCAGGGGAACUUCGGACCUUGCGCGAUUGAAUGAGCCGAUGUCGGAUAAGCUAGUUGGCGAGGUAAAGGCCCACCAAGGCGACGAUACGUAGCUGGUCAGAAAGGAUGAUCGGCCACAGUGACACUUGGCCACCGUCAAGACUAAAACGGGAAGAAGCAGUGGGAAAUAUUGGAAAAUGGGCGAAAGACUGUUCAAGCCAUAGCGAGUGGGUAAAGAAGACAUUCGGGUUAUAAAUACCUUUAGUUGGGAAAGAAAAGCAGCAGGUUAAUAACCCACUAUUCUGACGGUACCCAAAGAAUAAGCACCGGCUAACUUCGUG
RNAcentral lists this ribosomal RNA (492 nucleotides) under uncultured bacterium. Its description in RNAcentral is "partial 16S ribosomal RNA". It matches the Rfam family "Bacterial small subunit ribosomal RNA", at positions 29 to 507 of the family's 1533-position model. The record is from RNAcentral.